GGGGAAUUAGCUCAGUGGUAGAGCAAGCGGCUGUUAACCGCUAGGUCGAUGGUUCAAAUCCACCAUUCCCCU
RNAcentral lists this transfer RNA (72 nucleotides) under Bacteroidetes bacterium HGW-Bacteroidetes-1. RNAcentral describes it as "tRNA-Asn". It matches the Rfam family "tRNA". From Rfam's summary of the family: Transfer RNA (tRNA) molecules are approximately 80 nucleotides in length. Their secondary structure includes four short double-helical elements and three loops (D, anti-codon, and T loops). Lineage: Bacteria; Pseudomonadati; Bacteroidota. The record is from RNAcentral.